Molecule: ribosomal RNA, 301 nt
Filed under: uncultured bacterium
Lineage: Bacteria
Description: partial 16S ribosomal RNA
Rfam family: Bacterial small subunit ribosomal RNA
Source: RNAcentral
CAGUAGCCGCGGGAAUACGUAGGUCCCGAGCGUUGUCCGGAUUUAUUGGGCGUAAAGCGAGCGCAGGCGGUUAGAUAAGUCUGAAGUUAAAGGCUGUGGCUUAACCAUAGUAUGCUUUGGAAACUGUUUAACUUGAGUGCAGAAGGGGAGAGUGGAAUUCCAUGCGUAGCGGUGAAAUGCGUAGAUAUAUGGAGGAACACCGGUGGCGAAAGCGGCUCUCUGGUCUGUAACUGACGCUGAGGCUCGAAAGCGUGGGGAGCAAACAGGAUUAGAUACCCCAGUAGUCCCUGUCUCUUAUACA